GACGAACGCUGGCGGCGUGCUUAACACAUGCAAGUCGAACGGAAAGGCCCUGCUUUUGUGGGGUGCUCGAGUGGCGAACGGGUGAGUAACACGUGAGUAACCUGCCCUUGACUUUGGGAUAACUUCAGGAAACUGGGGCUAAUACCGGAUAGGAGCUCCUGCUGCAUGGUGGGGGUUGGAAAGUUUCGGCGGUUGGGGAUGGACUCGCGGCUUAUCAGCUUGUUGGUGGGGUAGUGGCUUACCAAGGCUUUGACGGGUAGCCGGCCUGAGAGGGUGACCGGCCACAUUGGGACUGAGAUACGGCCCAGACUCCUACGGGAGGCAGCAGUGGGGAAUAUUUCACAAUGGGCGGAAGCCUGAUGCAGCAACGCCGCGUGCGUGAUGACGGCCUUCGGGUUGUAAACCGCUUUCGCCUGUGACGAAGCGUGAGGGACGGUAAUGGGUAAAGAAGCACCGGCUAACUACGUG
Molecule: ribosomal RNA, 468 nt
Filed under: uncultured bacterium
Lineage: Bacteria
Description: partial 16S ribosomal RNA
Rfam family: Bacterial small subunit ribosomal RNA
Source: RNAcentral